UACGUAGGGUGCGAGCGUUAAUCGGAAUUACUGGGCGUAAAGCGUGCGCAGGCGGUUCGCCAAGUCAGGUGUGAAAUCCCCGGGCUUAACCUGGGAAUUGCGCUUGAAACUAGCGGGCUUGAGUGCGGCAGAGGGGGGUGGAAUUCCACGUGUAGCAGUGAAAUGCGUAGAUAUCAAGAGGAACACCUGCGGCGAAGGCGGGUUGCUGGGCCGACACUGACGCUGAGGCGCGAAAGCCAGGGGAGCGAACGGG
This 253-nucleotide ribosomal RNA is filed under the name uncultured bacterium. RNAcentral describes it as "partial 16S ribosomal RNA". It matches the Rfam family "Bacterial small subunit ribosomal RNA", at positions 524 to 776 of the family's 1533-position model. The record is from RNAcentral.